This 271-nucleotide long non-coding RNA is filed under the name Mytilus galloprovincialis (Mediterranean mussel). Lineage: Eukaryota; Metazoa; Mollusca; Bivalvia; Mytilida; Mytilidae. The record is from RNAcentral.
AAAAACAUAAAUAUUUUCUCAUGCUCAUCAGCCUCCAUGUUUUAGUAUACAUUCAGAUAUUGUGUACAGGUGAAUAUAUAUAACUCAUAUAAACACUUUUCAUUUUACAUAAUAAUCAAAUAAUUAGCAUUUAAUCUGUUUUGAUUUAGAAUAUAAUCAGCAUUUAAAAUCUGUUCGGAUUUAUAUAAUAAUCAAUUAGGUGUAAACUAAACUUCCGCAUAUUAGAAACAUUUGUUAUACUCAUCAACAUAUAAGAUAAGUUCCUAAUAUC